UCCGGUUUGUCACCGGCAGUCUCAUUAGAGUGCUCAACUAAAUGUAGCAACUAAUGACAAGGGUUGCGCUCGUUGCGGGACUUAACCCAACAUCUCACGACACGAGCUGACGACAGCCAUGCAGCACCUGUGUUCAGAUUCUCUUUCGAGCACGAAUCCAUCUCUGGAAACUUUCUGACAUGUCAAGGGUAGGUAAGGUUUUUCGCGUUGCAUCGAAUUAAACCACAUCAUCCACCGCUUGUGCGGGUCCCCGUCAAUUCCUUUGAGUUUUAAUCUUGCGACCGUACUCCCCAGGCGGCCUACUUCACGCGUUAGCUUCGUUACUGAGAAAAUAAAUUCCCAACAACUAGUAGGCAUCGUUUAGGGCGUGGACUAC
This 376-nucleotide unclassified non-coding RNA is filed under the name uncultured Gammaproteobacteria bacterium. RNAcentral describes it as "contains 16S-23S intergenic spacer region". Lineage: Bacteria; Pseudomonadati; Pseudomonadota; Gammaproteobacteria. The record is from RNAcentral.